RNAcentral lists this ribosomal RNA (377 nucleotides) under uncultured Planctomycetota bacterium. RNAcentral describes it as "bacterial SSU rRNA". It matches the Rfam family "Bacterial small subunit ribosomal RNA", at positions 521 to 896 of the family's 1533-position model. The record is from RNAcentral. Lineage: Bacteria; Pseudomonadati; Planctomycetota.
UAAUACGGAGAGUGCAAGCGUUGUUCGGAAUUACUGGGCUUAAAGAGCAUGUAGGCGGGACGUCAAGUGUCGGGUGAAAACCCCAGUCUCAGCCUGGGAACUGCCCGGCAAACUGGCGUUCUUGAGGCAGGUAGAGGUGACCGGAACAACUGGUGGAGCGGUGAAAUGCGUAGAUAUCAGUUGGAACGCCGGCGGCGAAAGCGGGUCACUGGACCUGUCCUGACGCUGAGGUGCGAAAGCGUGGGUAGCGAACGGGAUUAGAUACCCCGGUAGUCCACGCCGUAAACGAUGCGCACUAGGUAUGGGAGGUUUUGACGCCGACCGUGCCGAAGCAAAAGUGGUAAGUGCGCCGCCUGGGGAGUACGGCCGCAAGGCUA